CCUAGGACCCUGAGAUCAUGACCUGAGCCUAAAUCAAGAGUCAGAUGCUUAACUGACUGAGCCACCUAGGUACCCCUCCCUAUUACUUCUUAAAAGAUUGAAUGAAUUAAUGACGAUAAGGUGGAUUGGUACCACAGGAAGUAGUUUUCAUUAGAUGUGUGUUUCAUAGACUUAACUAGAAGUGGCUUUGAGAAAUCAUGUAAGAAGCUGACAAAUAAGCCUGGAUGUUUGGUGGUUGGACAUCUCCCUGCACAGUACUUAGCAGAGGUAAAGAGCUGCUUAUCGCUGUUUUCAUCAGUUCACCUCCCUUCCUCAGCCUUCGUCAGAGGUUUGCUAGCUUGCUGGUAUAAACUUCCUCUGAGUUGAUAAUACAAACUCAGGAACAUUAGAACAUGAGUCAUGAUUAUUGUUUGAUUAUUGUUUGAUUAUUGUUUGAUUAUUAUUUUGUUAUUUUUAGACUUAAAAUAGUAACAAAAUUUUACUAAUUUAUGGUAGCAUAUUUAAUGUUUUUCCUCAGUUCUGGAAUAAGUAAGUAACUAGUUGCUGUUUAAGAGAACAAAAAUCAUAUCUUGCUUCCACUUAGGUGAGAAGAGCCAGUAUAGAAAAAGCAAGAUUUUAGGAGAUUGGGUAUCUACUUAGAGAAUUCAUCAUAAAAAGGUGUCCAGACCAAAUAUUGGAAAAUCUUAUAUUUUAUGAUUUAAUAUCCCCUGUUGUGUUUACCUACAAUAUUUCAUUUCAGACUCCUAGUAGGGGAAUACAAACUUACAGUAUAAGAACCUUUCCCCUAGAAAAUCCACCAUGGGGGAAGUAUCCACUGCACAAGCCAGUGGUUUUGUCUGAAGCAUUAGACAUGUUAUCGUGGCACAGGUGGGUAGUGUAGAUAUUCUCACGCACAGGGCCCACAGACGGACAUUUCCCUGCAAGCUACGUCUCGUUUUUUUUCUUUUCCUGUAUCUACUUCCUUCGAGCACUUGGUGACCCCUGCAGGCAAUGCUUCGCCUCUCUGCUCAUGCUGAGGCCUUGCUAGAGUGGCCUCUUGAAGGGCUGAUUUGGGAGCCCGUGACCCGAAGUCCAGCCGUGGAAGCCCUUCUUCAGCCUGUCUGGUGCUGGUGGUCGUGCUGCCCUCCUCGGGGCUCUGAUACAGACGGGAGCAUUUUAAGCCUGUGUGUUGGAGCUGUCAUCAGCCCCGAGACUUAGUGGGGAAGUGAUUUGUGACUCCAGUCAAGAACAUGGUGGUAUGUAGCCGAUCAAGAUGGCCAUGAAGAGACUGAGAAAGGAGCCUCCAAACCAUUGUGCUCUAGUUUUAAAAUGAAGUGUGGUGUUUCUUCAACAGUAUCUCCUACUCACCUACGUCACUCUCCUGAGCUCAGGUAAUAAUCCAGUUGCCAGCUGAACAUCUCUUAACUCUCCUCAGUGAGGAGGGCCAAGGAAUCACAGGGGACUUGGCUACCCCCUACUCAUCCUCCAGGACUCGGAUUAGAUGUCCCUCCCUCCGGAAGCCUUCCUAACGGGGUGCCCCUGUCCUGUGACCCGUACAGUCUCCAUCAGAAGCCUUAGCAUAUUCUGCUGUGAUUCCUUCCCUGUGUCUGUCUCGCCCCUGGACUACAAGCUUUGUGGGGGCAGAACUGCACCUCUGUGAUGUUCACGGCUGGAUCUCCAGCUCCCAGUUCUGGGCACGGGGCCUGGGCAGUGCUCUGUCGAUGUGUGUCAAAAGACUGCAGGAAUUACUGUGCCAUCCAAGCCUGCACACAGGAGAUGAUCUAACAUGUGGCUCACAGCUGACUCUUGUAGGGGCUCAGAUAAACGAGGAGAAGACAAAUACCACCUGGGCAUGUUUACGCCAUUCUGUGUGGAUAGGCGAUGGAGCCAGACGGAUUUUCCUCCGCCCUCUUUAUUUAUGGAAGGCCUCACACACUUUCCAACAGGAGGAGAGAGGGUGGGAAGGGCACCGGCAUGCUGUGUUCAGGGGGAGGAAACGGUAUGUAUGGGCAAGGGGGCUCUGGUAAACCGCUGAGGAUGGGCAUGGUCACUGGAGCCCGCCGCCUCUCUCUUCCAAAAGCCCUUGGUGGCUGCGGUCCCAUCAAGUGAUAGUAACGGGAAACACAACAUCUACACGGAGCCAGGCACUCUUCUAAGUGCGGAACAUAGCAAUCUUUUGAGGUAGGUGUGCUAUUAUCCCCAUUUUACAUAUAAGGAAAGCGAGUCACAGGGAGAUUAAGGAACCUGCCCAGAUUGAUCCAGGUCUAAGUGGCAGAACCGGGAUUGCAGUCCCAGGCAGUCUGGCUCCAGAGCCUGUUUUAGUAACCACCCUUCUCCAUUGAUUUUCAAAGGCCAUCUGGCUCAGGCUCUCCCUAACUUACUCACUCCUGAACUACCUUCACGAUCUUUGCAAAACCUGUGUCCCACCUCUAAUGUUAUUUCUUGACUUUUUUCUUCUCAUAAUUCACGGGUUUAGUUAAAUACAUGUAUCUUGAAUGAAAUCUUGGUAUUCCUAUGAGAGACGAAAAAUCAGCAUCAUUUGCCAUACAAAAUAGAAAGGAAAUGUCAAAAUAAAUUCAGUGAAAACAAUGUUACUAAAUUUUAGCCAGCUACUGCUGCCCCCAAGUCCGGAGCCCCCAGGGCCGGAGUUGAGGGCUCAAAAGAGCAGAGGAAGGGGAAUCACGCUCACGGGACCUACCCCAGGGAUACGCCAGUGUUCCCUCCAGGGCACUGACCCCGCCUUGCUUGCCCCCUGCACUUGGAGAAAGCGGGUUCAGGACAAUGCUGCUUCUCACCCCCGAAGAGGAGAUGGAGGCUCAGGGAAGGGAAACGCUGUGCUCGAGACCAGCACUCGGGACCCUGGACUCCUGAGCGUGUGGCCCUCUACGCUCAUCUCUAGGCACACUUUCACACACCUCGCAUCUACCAGGUUAAUUCCUGAGUUAAUUCGUGUAGUUUUCAUGUUGACGGUGGCUCUGCCACCAAAGUUUGUCCUCCAGUUCUCGUGUUUCUGAAGUAAUUCCAAACCUUGACUGACUUGGCUGUUCUGGAGGGAGUCCCAGGUCACAUGGGAAUUUGGAAUCAGGACCUCUAGAUCUAGGUGGUCUGCUGCCACUGCGGUGGGAGUCAUUUAACGUCCUUCCAUCUGCCAACCCAUCUAUACGUUGAGGCUAACAGCACUUUCUCUGUGGACCUCGGAGGGUUGUGGUUAGGAUGCAAGUGAGGUCAUGGAUUGGGAAAUGCUCUGGUGGAAAACACGGCCCUGAACGUGCCCACUAGCGGUCACCCCCCAGCCCUCGCUCAUCUGGCAUCUGCAAACGAUGAGAACCGUGAAGAAGGGGACGGGCAUUUGAAUGGACAAAAGAGAUACCACAGUUGACUCGAAUCUGUAGGACAUCUACCGAUCCUGCUGCCCAAUGUGCCAGGUGCUGGCUGGGUAUGAAAGAAUUGGGACAGGUUACCACGUGGCCUGGACGUGAAGAGAAUUCAGUGUAAAAGGCAAGUAACACACAGUGUAUGAAAGGAUUGGGAUCCCUCGUGGUCCAGACCCUCGGCCUUCUUUAGGCCCACGGCCAGCAGGUUGGGUCAUCUGUUUCCCCAAAUGACACAACUUCAGAGCUAACAGAUGACAAGGGAGCAGGGCUAUUUCCGGGGGCAAAACUGCCUUGCUGAAGAAGAGGGGCUGACUUGGAGGAAAGAGGUAAGAAAACGAAGCAUUUGUGCAUCCAAGUCUGAGGUUGCUUAGUGGAGGAGCGCAAACCCUACAAACUUCACAGACCCUGAAAUUUGUUGUUUUGUAGGAUAUAGUAAUGCAUAACCAGUACUCAUAACGACCUCCUGAAUCAAGGGCUUUGCAUUUUCUUGUCCCCUCUGCCUGGAAUGCCCUUCCCCAGACCUCUGCUGGCCUGACUCCUCACCUGCUUCAGGUCUCUGCUCCAAUGUCCCCAACCUCAGUGAGGCCCACUCUGACCACCCUGUUCUCAAUUAUGUCCCAUCCCAGCUUCUGGAACUUUUCCUCUAUUUUUUUUCUGUAGUACUUACCACCUUUGGACAUAAUAUUUGUCAUCUCUCAUCUAUCUAUAUCUAACUACCUAUCUAUCACGUAUCUGCCAUCUGUCUUUCAUUGAUUACGUCUUUUGUGUGACCCCACCUCUGGAAUAUAACUUCCAUGGGUGCGAGGGCGUUCGCUGUUUUCCCAGACAGAGCUUGUGGCCUGAGCAGUAAAUAGACACCCAAUACAUGUCGUUGGUAGACCUCCAACUCUGAGUUAUCAAGGAAAGGUCAAAUUGUAGUUCAUAUAUUUUGAAAAUAGGGCUCUUGUCAUGCGCUUUCACCCUCAUCACCUGCUACAUUAUAAAGGUGUCUGAGGGUGCAUCACUUCCGGCCCGGACCCACUGAUCCUCACAGCCCGCAGCAAGCCUAGGCGGGCACACAGGAACCACGGUCCUCCUCUGCCCAGCCUCCUCUCGCGGACUUCCCCUGAGGACUUCCCAUGGAAGAGCUUCUACAGAGAAACAGGUUUUCUUUAUUUUUAUUUUUUUUGCCAUGUGCCCAAUUUUCUUCCAAAUUUCCAUACUUCUUCCUAUUCUUUAGAAGUCAUUUAGAAGGUAUGUAAGCAGGAUCCCAAUGGUAUGACUGACAUCAAGAGCAAAGACAAUACAUACAGUUCUCCUGACUUCCUGCAAUCUUCAUGGAAAUGAGAAUGGAAUUGAACGUGUGUAGAACUCCCAGCUUUAUUGCAACCCCAAUGAAAUGAAGUCUGUGUCUCUCUUGCAACUCAAAGAUCGAUUGCUCAGGUGGAAGAUAGUUAUAGAUCGUGUUUUAAAGUUUGGUAUUUCAUUUUCGCUUAAUGCCCACAGAAUUAGGACAUUAGUUUCUCAUAAAUCAAUGCCGUCCAAUCAAGUAUGCUCUUAGUCAUAAAUACACUGGAGGUGAGCUACAAUCACAUGGGCUAACCACUAUCCACUGAAGUCUUUUGGUUUUUUUUUUUCCCACUUAAAGCAGAUGAUUUACUUAUGGAAAUGUCACUGAGACUGGAACACCUUUUCCAUUUCUUUUGACGGUACUUUGAGCCAUCACCCCUCCCUCUGCUCCCAGUUCAGAAAUGGGUGCUCAGGGUAUAUAAUUUGCUUUGUCCUGUUUUGUUUUGGGAGAUCAGUUCUUUAAAUCAUUUGGCCAGACUGAAUAAAAUAACACCAAGAUUUUUUUUUUUUCUUUUUGAAUCCACAAGGUGCGAGGAGAACUGACAUUUAUCGAACCCUGGCUUCGCACCCCACACUUGGGUUCUGUGCUAGGGCACCCAAUCUUCCCUGCCAUGCUGGGCAGGAAGAAUCGUGAUUCUUGUUUCGCAGAUGCACCAACUGGGUCUCCUGGAGGCUGAGAACCUCAUCAGCAAGUGCUGGAGGACUGCUGUGCCCUUCCAGCCCUCUUUGCCCUGAUGGCAAAUCAAGAAAUUCGCCUGUAAGGCGCCUGAUCAGAAUAUCCUUCUAGAAGCUUGGCUCUACCAGUUGUGGGAGACUGGCACUGUGGACAGUCACCAGUCCCUUCCUCAAGAGCAUUCUGAAGGUGGACAUCAAGAAGGAAAAUGCUUUACCCCAGGUCUCACUACAUUUACUUAGCGGUGGGGCCUGGAUUCAAAUCAAGAUCCCGUUCUUCCCAAUCCCACGCUCUUUCCACUUAAUAUUGUAUUUCUGUUAAUAUCAUUUAAACCAGCUCAAGUUGGGUAGGUCGAAGAAUAAUGGGCUGAUGGCUGAAGAUGAACUCUCUGUCCUCUGCAUCUAGUACCAACCUCUGAAAAGGGAGAUGUUUGCAGAACUUCACCUGCUGCUGAAUACCCAGUGGUAAUUUUUUCUUGCCCCACGCCAUCUGGUGAACGUUGGCUGCGUCCCCACUUGUCCCCAGGGCUCCAGGACUGUUGGGCAUUAUGGAUUUCUUCAAGUACAUAGUUAGGCCCAAAUCUCUAGUCUUCAGGUUUUUAGUGUUUAUGUUUGGACAGCAUGUGAGAGGAAGCUGAUGGGAUAUUUACCCAAAGACAAGACACUUUUCAGACUAAGAUGCUGCUGCUAGAAGCUCUACCAAGCCUGGACCUCCGCGGACACUGGCGACAGGACCAGAGCAUUUCAGUCGUCCAACGGCCACUCCCUGCGAUGUCCCGUUUGGGGAGAGGACAGUCAAAUGCGGAACUGUGGGAUGGGGCCUGGCAGUCCCGGGGACCAUGCCUGGGGGUGUUUUUGCCCCAGUCGGGCUCUCAGCUGCUUGUUGGUGCCAGCAGGAUGGAGUUUGCAAGACUGAGAAGUGAUCCGAGUUUCUGUUUGAGACCUCCGUCUGUGGGCUUUCUCAGAGCUCACUGGGGUCCCCAUAACUGGCUGCCUGGCCAUACUCCCGUUCUUUGUGGCCUGGCGCUCAUGGGCUGUGCAAAUACCGCAUAGGAUGGUUGAAAGAAAGAGCUCUGGACUACGACAAACCCAGGUUUGAUUCCUAGCCACUUCACUGCUGUGUGACCUUGGACACUUUACUUAACCUUUCUGCACCUUAGCUUUCUCAUCUGUAAAAUGAAGCUAAUAUUGCUGAUCUGAUAAGGAUUAUGAGAGAUCAUGUAUAUGAAGUACUCAGUGCCUGGCAUACAAUAAGUGCUCAAUAAAUGGCAGAUUAUUAUUUUUA
Non-coding RNA from Callorhinus ursinus (northern fur seal), 6639 nucleotides. The record is from RefSeq and is a predicted model, not a curated record. Lineage: Eukaryota; Metazoa; Chordata; Mammalia; Carnivora; Otariidae.